UUGGGCGGGUUGCUUGUCACAUGUGUGGAUUCAGAGUACAGCUGGCAAAGGCCCUGCCUUACCAUAUGCUUUCAUCCAGAUGGUCACGGGUCAACUCUAUUCCAGCAUGUCAGAAGCUUCCUUUGUUUUGCAACCCAGAUAGUAUGGAAGAUAUCCAGAUCAAGAGUGGACUGAGAACAAUUUUGGAGACUUUAUGCUACUUGAGGAUUGGGCAGAUUCUCUAAGGACGGACACCCAGCUGAAGAUACAGAGUGCUCCCAGAAUUAGUGCAUGCUAAUCAUCCAAGGAGUAAUCCGCAAAAUCCAAUCACCCAAGUCAAGGAACUACCAAAGAGUGGUUAGUCAACAGCAUUUGUUUUUCACAGAUUUAUAUAUUUGAAUGACUCACCCACAGUUGACUGACUGAGGGGGGAAAAGGGGAUGAGGGGAAUUAGGAUGUGAACCAUCAGACUGAAUGAGAGAAUUAAAGCAAACCAAGAUUUCAAAGUGCUCUUAACUAUCUGUUAGAAAGCCAGUAAUAGUCCAUAUUGGAUCUGUGUAGUUUGCAUGGGUCAGAAAAGAAUACGUCCGAAAGUGAAUAAAUAAAGAAAUGAAAGAAAAGCCAUUUAUUAAAUAUCUAUUUUGCUCCAUUAAAAAAAAAAAAAGACCCACUUCACCUAUAUAGUGAACCACCAAUUUGAGAUCUCAAGAGCUUUCUGGAGAACUUUGUAAUCUUGUGAGACAUGGGAAACACUGGUACAGGACUGCUCUCAUCAAAGAGGUACUCUAGGGGCAAAGCAGAAUUGUAACAGCUGAAAAGAUGUGAGAUGCACAGAUUUAGAUACAACUCCACUCCAU
Long non-coding RNA from Antechinus flavipes (yellow-footed antechinus), 836 nucleotides. RefSeq lists it as uncharacterized. Lineage: Eukaryota; Metazoa; Chordata; Mammalia; Dasyuromorphia; Dasyuridae. The transcript is spliced from 2 exons. The record is from RefSeq and is a predicted model, not a curated record.